AACCAUGCCCUUCGGGGCUCCUUGGUGAUUCAUAAUAACUUAACGAAUCGCAUGGCCUUGCGCCGGCGAUGGUUCAUUCAAAUUUCUGCCCUAUCAACUUUCGAUGGUAGGAUAGUGGCCUACCAUGGUUUUAACGGGUAACGGGGAAUUAGGGUUCUAUUCCGGAGAGGGAGCCUGAGAAACGGCUACCUCACCCAAGGAAGGCAGCAGGCGCGCAAAUUACCCAAUCCCAAUUCGGGGAGGUAGUGACAAUAAAUACUGAUACAGGGCUCUUUCGGGUCUUGUAAUUGGAAUGAGAACAAUUUAAAUCCCUUAACGAGGAACAAUUGGAGGGCAAGUCUGGUGCCAGCAGCCGCGGUAAUUCCAGCUCCAAUAGCGUAUAUUAAAGUUGUUGCAGUUAAAAAGCUCGUAGUUGAACCUUGGGCCUGACCGAUCUGUCCUCCUAAUCGAGCGCACGGAUUCGGUUGGGUCUUUCCUUCUGGGGAACCCUAUGCCCUUCACUGGGCGUAGUGGGGAACCAGGACUUUUAC
Molecule: ribosomal RNA, 530 nt
Filed under: ascomycete from Cephaloziella exiliflora rhizoid
Lineage: Eukaryota; Fungi; Ascomycota
Description: SSU rRNA
Rfam family: Eukaryotic small subunit ribosomal RNA
Source: RNAcentral